GGGUGCAAGUCUCUUAUUAAUUUUUUUGAUAGUUAUUAUGGGGCGCCACCUUGAUUGGAUCAAGUUGGGCACGUCCUAUGAUUAGAAGGCCUUUUGAUUUUAUAUGGGGCAUCCCUUGGGUGCAAAAGAGGGUUUGUUUAAUUGGGUGCAAGGGCUCCAAGAGUUGGUGCCUAAUAAGAUUCCUAAUGUAAGUUAAAUAACUUAAGUUAUUAAGAAAUCUAAUGUAAGUAGGACUUGUAUUAUGAGAUUGAAUAAGAUUCAAUCCCCAUGCCUAUUUAAAGAGACCUCUCCUA
Molecule: long non-coding RNA, 293 nt
Filed under: Elaeis guineensis (African oil palm)
Lineage: Eukaryota; Viridiplantae; Streptophyta; Magnoliopsida; Arecales; Arecaceae
Description: long non-coding RNA (EGUI_LNC055096)
Source: RNAcentral